RNAcentral lists this ribosomal RNA (1238 nucleotides) under Glutamicibacter arilaitensis. Its description in RNAcentral is "bacterial SSU rRNA". It matches the Rfam family "Bacterial small subunit ribosomal RNA", at positions 95 to 1347 of the family's 1533-position model. Lineage: Bacteria; Bacillati; Actinomycetota; Actinomycetes; Micrococcales; Micrococcaceae. The record is from RNAcentral.
GUGGCGACGGGUGAGUAACACGUGAGUAACCUGCCCCUGACUCUGGGAUAAGCCCGGGAAACUGGGUCUAAUACCGGAUAUGACUGUUCACCGCAUGGUGGGUGGUUGAAAGAUUUAUCGGUGAGGGAUGGACUCGCGGCCUAUCAGCUUGUUGGUGAGGUAAUGGCUCACCAAGGCGACGACGGGUAGCCGGCCUGAGAGGGUGACCGGCCACACUGGGACUGAGACACGGCCCAGACUCCUACGGGAGGCAGCAGUGGGGAAUAUUGCACAAUGGGCGAAAGCCUGAUGCAGCGACGCCGCGUGAGGGAUGACGGCCUUCGGGUUGUAAACCUCUUUCAGUAGGGAAGAAGCGAAAGUGACGGUACCUGCAGAAGAAGCGCCGGCUAACUACGUGCCAGCAGCCGCGGUAAUACGUAGGGCGCAAGCGUUAUCCGGAUUUAUUGGGCGUAAAGAGCUCGUAGGCGGUUUGUCGCGUCUGCCGUGAAAGUCCAAGGCUCAACCUUGGAUCUGCGGUGGGUACGGGCAGACUAGAGUGAUGUAGGGGAGACUGGAAUUCCUGGUGUAGCGGUGAAAUGCGCAGAUAUCAGGAGGAACACCGAUGGCGAAGGCAGGUCUCUGGGCAUUUACUGACGCUGAGGAGCGAAAGCAUGGGGAGCGAACAGGAUUAGAUACCCUGGUAGUCCAUGCCGUAAACGUUGGGCACUAGGUGUGGGGGACAUUCCACGUUUUCCGCGCCGUAGCUAACGCAUUAAGUGCCCCGCCUGGGGAGUACGGCCGCAAGGCUAAAACUCAAAGGAAUUGACGGGGGCCCGCACAAGCGGCGGAGCAUGCGGAUUAAUUCGAUGCAACGCGAAGAACCUUACCAAGGCUUGACAUGUGCCAGACCGCCUCAGAGAUGGGGUUUCCCUUCGGGGCUGGUUCACAGGUGGUGCAUGGUUGUCGUCAGCUCGUGUCGUGAGAUGUUGGGUUAAGUCCCGCAACGAGCGCAACCCUCGUUCCAUGUUGCCAGCACGUAAUGGUGGGGACUCAUGGGAGACUGCCGGGGUCAACUCGGAGGAAGGUGGGGAUGACGUCAAAUCAUCAUGCCCCUUAUGUCUUGGGCUUCACGCAUGCUACAAUGGCCGGUACAAUGGGUUGCGAUACUGUGAGGUGGAGCUAAUCCCUAAAAGCCGGUCUCAGUUCGGAUUGGGGUCUGCAACUCGACCCCAUGAAGUCGGAGUCGCUAGUAAUCGCAG